GAAAUGCGAUAAGUAAUGUGAAUUGCAGAAUUCAGUGAAUCAUCGAAUCUUUGAACGCACAUUGCGCUCGCCAGUAUUCUGGCGAGCAUGCCUGUUCGAGCGUCAUUUCAACCAUCAAGCUCUGCUUGCGUUGGGGAUCCGCGUCUGCCCGCGGUCCCUCAAAAACAGUGGCGGGCUCGCUAGUCACACCGAGCGUAGUAACUCUACAUCGCUAUGGUCGUGCGGCGGGUUCUUGCCGUAAAACCCCCAAUUUCUAAGGUUGACCUCGGAUCAGGUAGGAAUACCCGCUGAACUUAAGC
Molecule: unclassified non-coding RNA, 299 nt
Filed under: plant metagenome
Description: partial contains 5.8S ribosomal RNA, internal transcribed spacer 2, and large subunit ribosomal RNA
Rfam family: 5.8S ribosomal RNA (bases 1-105)
Source: RNAcentral